RNAcentral lists this non-coding RNA (635 nucleotides) under Pan troglodytes (chimpanzee). The record is from RNAcentral. Lineage: Eukaryota; Metazoa; Chordata; Mammalia; Primates; Hominidae.
GUGAAGAUGGACAGUGUGUGAAUUAUAAGAGCUCUGUUUCUAAAGUGAUUCAACUAUACUUGCACAGAAUUCCAAAAGCUCUACUGUUUAUUACUCUUCAUUACUAAUACAGCCUUUGAUUGUAAGCAGGCUGUCCUUUGUGAAUAACAAUCACAGAUACAGACAUCUUCAGACAGUUCAAGUCGUGUGCUUCAAUCAAACUCUAGUCGGAAAAGAACUUUCAGAGAAAGGCUGCUUCCACAGUACUGACAAAAUCUGCUAUAUAUCACAUAACAUUGCAUUGUGCACUCACUCAAACUUUAUGUUUCCCUGUUUUAUAAAUUCUUAAGAGCACUGCAUGGCUCACAAAAAUCUAAUACUGGCACUCUCUAUGUUGGCGAUUACUGAAUGGAAAUAUGCAUAUUUAGCUUGAAAGAAAGAAGGGUAAUAUUUUCCUUGCAAUUUAUUCACCAUUUCCUUUAUAUAACCUGCAAUCAUGAGCUUUGUGACACAUUGGAAAAGAAAUACUUUAUUAUAGAAAAUAUAACUAGAUAGUAAUGAGUUUUAAAGCAGAGUAUUGACCAUGUAUAAUGGUUCUCACAGAUAUGAAAUGAAAAAAUCCGAAAAAUGAAAGUAAAUCUCUUAAAAAUACUAAA